RNAcentral lists this unclassified non-coding RNA (283 nucleotides) under uncultured fungus. RNAcentral's name for it is "partial contains 5.8S ribosomal RNA, internal transcribed spacer 2, and large subunit ribosomal RNA". Lineage: Eukaryota; Fungi. The record is from RNAcentral.
AACGCACAUUGCGCCCCUUGGUAUUCCAUGGGGCAUGCCUGUUCGAGCGUCAUCUAAACCCUCAAGCCCCUUGGGUGUUGUCCCGCCUUGUGCGCGGAUUCCGCCUGGCUUGGUGUUGGGUGCCUGUCCCGCUCCCUGUGUGGACUCACCCCAAAUGCAUUGGCAGCAGCCCCUCGGCUUCUCGCGCAGCACAUUGCGUAGCGGAGCGUGGCGAGGCUUGCGUCCAGCAAGCAAACCCCCCAAGUUUGACCUCGGAUCAGGUAGGGAUACCCGCUGAACUUAA